This 253-nucleotide ribosomal RNA is filed under the name uncultured bacterium. RNAcentral describes it as "partial 16S ribosomal RNA". It matches the Rfam family "Bacterial small subunit ribosomal RNA", at positions 524 to 776 of the family's 1533-position model. The record is from RNAcentral.
GACGGAGGAUGCAAGUGUUAUCCGGAAUCACUGGGCGUAAAGCGUCUGUAGGUGGUUUAAAAAGUCUACUGUUAAAAAUUGAAGCUUAACUUCAAAGAUGCCGUGGAAACUUUUAAACUUGAGUAUGAUAGGGGUAGAGGGAAUUUCCAGUGGAGCGGUGAAAUGCGUAGAUAUUGGAAAGACCACCAAUGGCGAAGGCACUCUACUGGGCCAUUACUGACACUGAGAGACGAAAGCUAGGGGAGCGAAUGGG